AGUGGGAUAGCUGAGUCAAAUGGUGGUUCUAUUGCAAGUUUUCUAAGUAAUCUCCAUACUGCUUUCCAGAUUGAUUGCACCAAUUUGCAAUCCCACCAGCAGU
RNAcentral lists this microRNA precursor (103 nucleotides) under Marmota monax (woodchuck). Lineage: Eukaryota; Metazoa; Chordata; Mammalia; Rodentia; Sciuridae. The record is from RNAcentral.